GUCAGCUCCCUGAAGGAUGUUCUAAAAUACUUCAUUGAAAAAACUGAGUAUCGGCUUUGUCCUUUCAUUCCAUCUCAGCCCUACGACACUUUGAUCGAGGCGUCACCAGCUCCCAAGUGCCUCGACACAACCCCACGUGCACCUAAACCACUACCAAAGGCACACGUGCCCCCUAUGCUGCGGUCACGGACCAAAGAGGAGAUUCUGCCAAACAAGCCUGAUGAGGGAGAAUAUGUCAUUCCUGAUGAUCCCAAUGACUCCAGCCUGAAUCUAGCUCAGUUGGAUGAUGAGCUCAGGAGAGCCCUAAAACAACGGAGAGAAAACAUCUAUGUUUCGACUGAUGAGAAAGUCUCCCCCUAUGAAACAAAACUGAAUGGAAAAACAACAAUCUAACACGGCACGGUGGACGACCGAGAAACCGACAGCGUGAAGUAGGGACUGGUGUAACCUGACAAGUAUAACGUUAAACUUUUACCUACAGCUCAGAGAUCACAAUGUUCACGGUGAAAAUGGCUAAAUUCUGCUUUAUUGAAACGAAAUUUAUACAUUUUUCUCCAAGAUGGGAGAGUUUGGACCGUUGCUUAAAUAUUGUGACCAAAUGAGCGGACGGUGCUAGAUGAUCAAAGGAAUUUCUGUGUUUAUUUCAGUGACCACUAAUGUCUGCAUCCGUCAUUGCAAUCCAGCUGAGGGGUGUCAAUAAAAAAGCUGAACAUUUCAUCCCGUAGUCAGUCCCAAAAACUUUGUAAAAGAUUAAAUGUUUGUUCAAAUCUUUGUACCUGUGGAUGGAUCCGUAUUGGAACUUUUACACUGAGGGUUCACCAAAGUAAUCAACCCCCUCGGGAAC
This is a non-coding RNA of Neolamprologus brichardi, 844 nucleotides long. The record is from RefSeq and is a predicted model, not a curated record. Lineage: Eukaryota; Metazoa; Chordata; Actinopteri; Cichliformes; Cichlidae.